Molecule: ribosomal RNA, 497 nt
Filed under: uncultured bacterium
Lineage: Bacteria
Description: partial 16S ribosomal RNA
Rfam family: Bacterial small subunit ribosomal RNA
Source: RNAcentral
GACGAACGCUGGCGGCGUGCCUAAUACAUGCAAGUCGAGCGAACAGACGAGGAGCUUGCGCCUCUGACGUUAGCGGCGGACGGGUGAGAAACACGUGGAUAACCUACCUAUAAGACGGGGAAAACUUCGGGACACCGGAGCAAAUAGCGGAGAAUAUAUUGAACCGCGGGGUGCAAUAGUGAAAGACGGUUGUGGUGUCACUAAUAGAUGGAUCCGCGCCGCAUGAGCUAGUUGGUAAGGUAACGGGUUACCAAGGGAACGAUGCGUAGCCGACCUGACGGGGUGAUCGGCCACACUGGAGCUGAGACGCGGUCCAGACUCCUACGGGAGGCAGCAGUAGGGAAUCUUCCGCAAUGGGCGAAAGCUUGACGGAGCGACGCCGCGUGAGUGAUGAAGGUCUUCGGAUCGUAAAACUCUGUUAUUAGGGAAGAACAAAUGUGUAAGUAACUAUGCACGUCUUGACGGUACCUAAUCAGAAAGCCACGGCUAACUACGUG